GUGGGGAAUCUUGCGCAAUGGGCGAAAGCCUGACGCAGCCAUGCCGCGUGAAUGAUGAAGGUCUUAGGAUUGUAAAAUUCUUUCACCGGGGACGAUAAUGACGGUACCCGGAGAAGAAGCUCCGGCUAACUUCGUGCCAGCAGCCGCGGUAAUACGAAGGGGGCUAGCGUUGCUCGGAAUUACUGGGCGUAAAGGGCGCGUAGGCGGACAGCUUAGUCAGAGGUGAAAGCCCAGGGCUCAACCUUGGAAUUGCCUUUGAUACUGGCUGUCUUGAGUUUGGGAGGGGGGAGUGGAACUCCGAGUGUAGAGGUGAAAUUCGUAGAUAUUCGGAAGAACACCAGUGGCGAAGGCGACUCACUGGCCCAAUACUGACGCUGAGGCGCGAAAGCGUGGGGAGCAAACAGGAUUAGAUACCCGAGUAGUCC
This 425-nucleotide ribosomal RNA is filed under the name uncultured bacterium. RNAcentral describes it as "partial 16S ribosomal RNA". It matches the Rfam family "Bacterial small subunit ribosomal RNA", at positions 354 to 796 of the family's 1533-position model. The record is from RNAcentral.